RNAcentral lists this transfer RNA (63 nucleotides) under Scelimena sp. 1 XDL-2023a. RNAcentral's name for it is "tRNA-Ala". It matches the Rfam family "tRNA". Rfam says of the family: Transfer RNA (tRNA) molecules are approximately 80 nucleotides in length. Their secondary structure includes four short double-helical elements and three loops (D, anti-codon, and T loops). The record is from RNAcentral. Lineage: Eukaryota; Metazoa; Arthropoda; Insecta; Orthoptera; Tetrigidae.
AGGGUUUUAGUUAAAAAUAACAUUUGACUUGCAAUCAAAAAGUGCUGAUAUCAGCUUACCUUC